AUGGAGAAGGUGGAAGGGCUUCUGCGUAACCUGAAGCUGUCUGACAAGGAGAGAAAGAGCAUCAAGAUUGGUUGGACUGGAUCUGGGAAGGAGGGGGUUGUGGAGCCGCAAGCCCUAGCAAAGCUACUGUCGGAGAAACCAGUGUUCGAGGAGGCGAUGGCGGAGACACUGGGCAGGAUCUGGUGCCCUAUCAGGGGGGAGGAUUGUAAGGAAGUUGGGGAGAAUACUUUUUUGUUCACGUUUGGGCAAGAAUCGGGUAAGAGGAUGGCGGUGGAGGGAGGUCCAUGGGAAUUUGGCAACGAUCUUCUUGUGUUUGAAGAUUUUGAUGCGAGCAAGCGGCUGGAAGAUUAUGCUUUUGAGACCAUCCCAAUCUGGGUUCGUGUGAUGAGACUACCGCUAGGACUGAUGUGUAGAGAUGCAGGUGAAAAAAUUGGUGCGGAGAUUGGUGAGGUCUAG
Molecule: ribosomal RNA, 456 nt
Filed under: Triticum aestivum (bread wheat)
Lineage: Eukaryota; Viridiplantae; Streptophyta; Magnoliopsida; Poales; Poaceae
Description: partial small subunit ribosomal RNA
Source: RNAcentral